Long non-coding RNA from Parus major (Great Tit), 3129 nucleotides. RefSeq lists it as uncharacterized. The record is from RefSeq and is a predicted model, not a curated record. Lineage: Eukaryota; Metazoa; Chordata; Aves; Passeriformes; Paridae. The transcript is spliced from 7 exons.
CUGAUGUUAAAAGAAAUCCGCAAUUGUCAGUGUGUCACAUGCAUGAAUCCCACUGCUGGAAGUUUUUCAGUAAAUCAGCAUCUUUGGGGCCUGGAAACCAGCCACACACAGAACAGAGAGAGAUCGAAGCAUCUGGUGAACUUCAGAGUUCCAUCUUUUGCGAAAGAUGAAGAGACUGGAGCAAAACUCUGCCUGAGGACCCACGUGCAAAUCCUCCAAGAGAGCCAUGCACCUGUGACAGAGCUGACGGAGCAGCAAAGCAGACAGGGGGCUUGAGAUCAGCUCCCCAAACAACCAGACCUCACUGAGUGACAGCUUGUUUGUGUCCCGAGUGAUGUGCAGGAUCUGGUUUGGAAUCUCACAAUGGAACCACUGCUCUGUGACAGCGACCGUAAUGUACUUCAAUUCAGUCCCCCCACAGGAGCAACAAAGGCCAAAAAAUCUACCACAAGAAUGAGCACUGAAAAUGAGGUAUUCUGUGUUUUGCCCAGUCCUAUCUGAACCACACCAAGGGGAAAAAACACCCUCAGGGGUCAUUGUUUACAUUCACAUUUGAGGUAAAGUCUGCUAGAGAUGGUCACUGGAGAAAGGAAUUCACAGAAGAUGAAUUGAGAAAAUGAGGUGCCUGUGGUGAAAUUCUGGGUAAAAGCACAAAAUUAACUGUCAUCCAAGCCCAAGAAGGUGAAAAAUGCAGCUCAUACUCCAAGUCUCUGUGUGAACCCAGUCCAGAGGGAACAUUUUGGGACCAUUUCCUGUGUUUUGGACAGAAUAGAAGCCCUGGUUAAAUGAAGAGAGAAAUGUAGCCACCCCUUCUGACCCAAGAGGAGGAAAAGAUUUUUCUUCAGUUUUACAGCCUAAGAUAUUUGUAUCUUUGUCAAGUUUGCAGUCCUGAUCAAUGGGAGAGUCUUGCUCAUCCGUCAAGCUCCAGCUGUUUCCCUGACAAUGCCUCAGGCCCUGUUAUCUGCUGCUGCCUUUCUGCAGACUCACACCAUCACCUGGAACCUGCUGAGUGCCAUCAAAUGAAGGAGCAGUGAGAACUCACUGGUGAGAUGCUCUCAAAUAUCAGGGGUUAUUUGAGAUUUGGGAUUUCCACCAAGAAAUGAAAGAAUACCAAUCAGGGCCUACAGUUGAACUUAAAUCCUGCAUGACUCAUAUGUGCAGCCUCGCUUAUGAAGAGCACAUUUCAUUGUUAUGACAGAACUGUUUGUUGAGGUCGUCUCCAAACUGAGUAGCAUUGUGACCUUCACCUAUAGUACAAAUUAUAUGAAUGAAAAAUGUGUUUUAUCAAUGCAUCAAAAAUUUAAAGCUAACAAACCUCUGAGCAGCGUACUGUAACUUCUGUUCUGUAAUUAAACCAGAGCCCCUCUCCCGGACAGGUUCACUCAGCUUUGCCUUUCUUUGAGUAAUACACCUUCAGACCAGUAUUGUUUUGAUGUAUUACAAUGAUAGACUGAAGAGUUCAUGUAAUAUAUCAUGACAGGCAGCAGUUGCUGGACGCUAAGGAUUGAGAGACCGAGCCAGCUGUUUUUCUGAUGUGUUCUCGUAAUGCAUCACCAGCUGAGGGAAACUGAUAAUGUAUUACUUCAAAAUGACACCACCCAGAAAAGGAAGAGUCCAGAGGAGCAGAUUCUGUAUAAUGAGGCAUUCAAAGUAUGAAAUGGGGCUGCAAACUCCUGGAACAGGAUGUUGGUAAUAAAUCAGCUUUCUAUGGUAGAAACACAUUAGCUAUGAGGCUACACAGCUACAUACUGCUGUCUGAUUUCCAGUGCCUCUAUGUGGUGCUGGUUUUGUGCAAAGCAAAGAUAACCCUAGCAGCAGUUUUACCUUCACUUUUCUUACAACUAAACACUUCACAAGCCAAGCAACUUAGAACAGGGGAUAAGGCAGAAUUAUAUUGGCUCAACACAUUCAAAUACCUGGGAUUCCUCCUCAUCCCAGGGUACUGUCAGAACUACUUGUAUGCUACUCUUUUAGUGGCAUGCCAUGGCAAUGGCACAGACAAGAAUGGCCUUUUUUUGGGAGUAUUACAUCCUAAAGGGACAGAAUGGGCUGGCCCAGAGCACUGCAGUGGUGAUUGACUUUUCCUGCAGGUUGACUGAAGGCAAGAAAGGCUCUUUUGGCCAUCUCUUCAUCCCUUCUUUGUUUAUCUUUCACCUGCCACACACACAAAGAGUCAGGCCAAACAGUCAUUGACCCCAAUUAAAAAGAAAAUUAUUGGAACAGAUAGCAAUUCUGAACAUUUGCCUACAAAACUUUAUCUCUUUUAUGAAGCAAAUUGUGUAUGUGUAAAAGCAUUUCCUCUGAAUUUAUUUUUAACCCUAAACUAACCAUGGGAAAACAGAAAAACUGGAAGAUAAUCUUUUAAAAUCCUGAGUUACAUCUCUACUCUAGUUCUUUUACGUACUCGUUUGUUAAAAGCAAUACUGUUUAUAAUUUUGCAUAUAUAAGCAGCAUUAUAUUUUUGGCAAACCCUUGAAAAGAAAUAGGUCCUACACUCAAAUUUUACUUUUUAUUUAUGGAUGGUUUGUACUGCAAAUAAAAAGAAAUUCUAUUUUAUUAACAAUAAGUACACUUUUCUGCCCAUAGUCAAUUAUUCUAAAUCAUGACUACAAGAUAUUAAAUAUGGUCUUGUGACAUGUGAUUCUAAGUCAGAAAGAUUCCAGUCUCAUAUACAGAGACGUCCAUACGCACAGAACUUUGCGAGCUCAGAUUUGAUCAGGGAUUUUUGAAGAGGAGCCUUGCCUGGCAGACUCCAUACAGGGUUGGGUAGAGAUUGUGUGCUCAUGUCUGAUCCAUCUACUUCAGUUGCUCUCUUCAUCUUUGGUACUCCAGGGAGCUGGGGGUUUUCCACCCCUGCCUGCCAUUCAUCUCAAAGCCAGUGCUUAGCACUUUGCAAGGACAAGUUCUGUAAAAUCAUAUCUGCAGUUCCUGCAGUUCUGGGUACAAAAUAGAUUAUGGGUGCAAAAUUCCAAGUGCAAAAGAUCUCAAUAACCUACCAAAGAUUUCUUAGAUUAAAAAAAAACCCAAAACCAAGAAUUUUCUGUGCUUGCUUUUUCAGACUACCUUGUUUCAUUCCCAAGAUUAUAUACAUGAUUGGCCAUCAAUAUCGAAGCACCACAGAAACAUUUU